CGCCGUUAUCACGAAUCUCGCAAAAGAGAUAGCAACCUGCAACAACGAGCAAGGUGCUAAAACGAUAAGCCAAUUCUGUUGGAAAAAAUGUUGUUUUC
This 98-nucleotide non-coding RNA is filed under the name Flavobacterium sp. Its description in RNAcentral is "SAM-I-IV sequence". It matches the Rfam family "SAM-I/IV (S-adenosyl methionine) riboswitch aptamer". From Rfam's summary of the family: It is found upstream of a number of genes which code for proteins involved in methionine or cysteine biosynthesis. It has been found mostly in the order Actinomycetales. The record is from RNAcentral. Lineage: Bacteria; Pseudomonadati; Bacteroidota; Flavobacteriia; Flavobacteriales; Flavobacteriaceae.